RNAcentral lists this ribosomal RNA (450 nucleotides) under uncultured Glomeromycotina. RNAcentral's name for it is "SSU rRNA". It matches the Rfam family "Eukaryotic small subunit ribosomal RNA", at positions 569 to 1022 of the family's 1831-position model. Lineage: Eukaryota; Fungi; Glomeromycota. The record is from RNAcentral.
AGCAGCCGCGGUAAUUCCAGCUCCAAUAGCGUAUAUUAAAGUUGUUGCAGUUAAAAAGCUCGUAGUUGAAUUUUGGAUUCUGCCAGUUGGUCCAUCUUUUGAUGAGUACUGAUUGUGCGGGGUCUAUCCGCCUGGGGAGACGUAAUGUACUUUAUUGUAUGUUACGGGUAGCCAGGACCUUUACCUUGAAAAAAUUAGAGUGUUUAAAGCAGGCUUAUGCCGGAAUACAUUAGCAUGGAAUAAUAGAAUAGGACGAUGUUGUUUUAUUUUGUUGGUUUCUAGGACAACCGUAAUGAUUAAUAGGGAUGGUUGGGGGCAUUAGUAUUCAAUUGUCAGAGGUGAAAUUCUUGGAUUUAUUGAAGACUAACUACUGCGAAAGCAUUUGCCAAGGAUGUUUUCAUUAAUCAAGAACGAAAGUUAGGGGAUCGAAGACGAUCAGAUACCGUCGUA